AGAGUUUGAUCAUGGCUCAGAUUGAACGCUGGCGGCAGGCCUAACACAUGCAAGUCGAGCGGAUGAGGGGUGCUUGCACCUCGAUUCAGCGGCGGACGGGUGAGUAAUGCCUAGGAAUCUGCCUGAUAGUGGGGGACAACGUUUCGAAAGGAACGCUAAUACCGCAUACGUCCUACGGGAGAAAGCAGGGGACCUUCGGGCCUUGCGCUAUCAGAUGAGCCUAGGUCGGAUUAGCUAGUUGGUGGGGUAAAGGCUCACCAAGGCGACGAUCCGUAACUGGUCUGAGAGGAUGAUCAGUCACACUGGAACUGAGACACGGUCCAGACUCCUACGGGAGGCAGCAGUGGGGAAUAUUGGACAAUGGGCGAAAGCCUGAUCCAGCCAUGCCGCGUGUGUGAAGAAGGUCUUCGGAUUGUAAAGCACUUUAAGUUGGGAGGAAGGGCAUUAACCUAAUACGUUAGUGUUUUGACGUUACCGACAGAAUAAGCACCGGCUAACUUCGUGCCAGCAGCCGCGGUAAUACGAAGGGUGCAAGCGUUAAUCGGAAUUACUGGGCGUAAAGCGCGCGUAGGUGGUUCAGCAAGUUGGAUGUGAAAGCCCCGGGCUCAACCUGGGAACUGCAUCCAAAACUACUGAGCUAGAGUAUGGUAGAGGGUGGUGGAAUUUCCUGUGUAGCGGUGAAAUGCGUAGAUAUAGGAAGGAACACCAGUGGCGAAGGCGACCACCUGGACUGAUACUGACACUGAGGUGCGAAAGCGUGGGGAGCAACCAGGAUUAGAUACCCUGGUAGUCCACGCCGUAAACGAUGGGUACUAGGUGCUUGGGGGAGCGACCCCUUGAGUGCCGGCGCUAACGCAUUAAGUACCCCGCCUGGGGAGUACGGCCGCAAGGCUGAAACUCAAAGGAAUUGACGGGGGCCCGCACAAGCGGUGGAGCAUGUGGUUUAAUUCGACGCAACGCGAAGAACCUUACCUAGGCUUGACAUACACGGGAAACGCCUGAGAAACCAGGCGCCCUCUUCGGAGUCCGUGUACAGGUGCUGCAUGGCUGUCGUCAGCUCGUGUCGUGAGAUGUUGGGUUAAGUCCCGCAACGAGCGCAACCCCCGUUCCCAGUUGCCAGCGAGUAAAGUCGGGGACUCUGGGAAGACUGCCGGUGCCAAACCGGAGGAAGGUGGGGACGACGUCAAGUCAUCAUGGUCCUUACGUCUAGGGCUACACACGUGCUACAAUGGUCGGUACAGAGGGUUGCCAAGCCGCGAGGCGGAGCUAAUCUCACAAAACCGAUCGUAGUCCGGAUCGCAGUCUGCAACUCGACUGCGUGAAGUCGGAAUCGCUAGUAAUCGUGAAUCAGAAUGUNCACGGUGAAUACGUUNCCCGGGCCUUGUACACACCGCCCGU
This 1398-nucleotide ribosomal RNA is filed under the name uncultured bacterium. RNAcentral describes it as "16S ribosomal RNA". It matches the Rfam family "Bacterial small subunit ribosomal RNA". The record is from RNAcentral.